GACGAACGCUGGCGGCGUGCUUAACACAUGCAAGUCGAACGGAAAGGCCCUGCUUUUGUGGGGUGCUCGAGUGGCGAACGGGUGAGUAACACGUGAGUAACCUGCCCUUGACUUUGGGAUAACUUCAGGAAACUGGGGCUAAUACCGGAUAUGAGCUCCUGCUGCAUGGUGGUGGUUGGAAAGUUUCGGCGGUUGGGGAUGGACUCGCGGCUUAUCAGCUUGUUGGUGGGGUAGUGGCUUACCAAGGCUUUGACGGGUAGCCGGCCUGAGAGGGUUACCGGCAACAAUGGGAGUGAGAUAGGGACCAGAAUGCUACGGGAGGCAGCAGUGGUGAAUAUUGCAAAAUGGGCGGAAGCCUGAUGCAGAAACGCGGCGUGCGGGAUGAAGGCCUUCGGGUUGUAAACCGCUUUCGCAUGUGACGAAGCGUGAGUGACGGUAAUGGGUAAAGAAGCACCGGCUAACUACGUG
Molecule: ribosomal RNA, 468 nt
Filed under: uncultured bacterium
Lineage: Bacteria
Description: partial 16S ribosomal RNA
Rfam family: Bacterial small subunit ribosomal RNA
Source: RNAcentral